RNAcentral lists this ribosomal RNA (497 nucleotides) under uncultured bacterium. RNAcentral's name for it is "partial 16S ribosomal RNA". It matches the Rfam family "Bacterial small subunit ribosomal RNA", at positions 28 to 507 of the family's 1533-position model. The record is from RNAcentral.
GAUGAACGCUGGCGGCGUGCCUAAUACAUGCAAGUCGAGCGAACAGACGAGGAGCUUGCUCCUCUGACGUUAGCGGCGGACGGGUGAGUAACACGUGGAUAACCUACCUAUAAGACUGGGAUAACUUCGGGAAACCGGAGCUAAUACCGGAUAAUAUAUUGAACCGCAUGGUUCAAUAGUGAAAGACGGUUUUGCUGUCACUUAUAGAUGGAUCCGCGCCGCAUUAGCUAGUUGGUAUGGUAACGGCUUACCAAGGCAACGAUGCGUAGCCGACCUGAGAGGGUGAUCGGCCACACUGGAACUGAGACACGGUCCAGACUCCUACGGGAGGCAGCAGUAGGGAAUCUUCCGCAAUGGGCGGAAGCCUGACGGAGCAACGCCGCGUGAGUGAUGAAGGUCUUCGGAUCGUAAAACUCUGUUAUUAGGGAAGAACAAAUGUGUGAGUAACUAUGCACGUCUUGACGGUACCUAAUCAGAAAGCCACGGCUAACUACGUG